Molecule: non-coding RNA, 73 nt
Organism: Mustela putorius furo (domestic ferret)
Lineage: Eukaryota; Metazoa; Chordata; Mammalia; Carnivora; Mustelidae
Source: Rfam
GCCUGGCUGGCUCAGUCGGUAGAGCAUCUGACUAUUGAUCUUGGGGUCAUGAGUUCAAGUCCCACGCUGGGUG